GCAGACACAUUUCAGCCAAUCAGCAGCAGACCCUCCCUCCCAGACCCUCCCACCUCCUGGACAGCAUCCAUUUUACAUUCAUUGUGAAGCUGCAUUCUUAGUGAGCUGUCCAGGAGUUGGGAGGGUCUGGGAGGGAGGGUCUGCUGCUGAUUGGCUGGAAUGUGUCU
Pelobates cultripes (western spadefoot toad) is the source of this 167-nucleotide non-coding RNA. Lineage: Eukaryota; Metazoa; Chordata; Amphibia; Anura; Pelobatidae. The record is from the annotation of a GenBank genome assembly.